CACCGCGGUUAUACGAGAGGCCCAAGCUGACAGUUCCCGGCGUAAAGAGUGGUUAAUAACCCCACCAGACUAAAGCCGAACAUCUCCAAAGUUGUACAACGCACUCGAAGAUAUGAAGACCAACCACGAAAGUGACUUUACACUCUUUGAACCCACGAAAGCUAGGGAA
Molecule: ribosomal RNA, 169 nt
Filed under: Taeniamia zosterophora
Lineage: Eukaryota; Metazoa; Chordata; Actinopteri; Kurtiformes; Apogonidae
Also listed under: 1 other name
Description: partial small subunit ribosomal RNA
Source: RNAcentral